UACGUAGGGGGCAAGUGUUGUCCGGAUUUAUUGGGCGUAAAGAGCGUGUAGGCGGCCAGAUAGGUCCGUUGUGAAAACUGGAGGCUUAACCUCCAGCGGUCGAUGGAAACCAUUUGGCUAGAGUCCGGAAGAGGAGAGUGGAAUUCCUGGUGUAGCGGUGAAAUGCGCAGAUAUCAGGAAGAACACCCGUGGCGAAGGCGGCUCUCUGGGACGGUACUGACGCUGAGACGCGAAAGCGUGGGGAGCGAACAGG
Molecule: ribosomal RNA, 253 nt
Filed under: uncultured bacterium
Lineage: Bacteria
Description: partial 16S ribosomal RNA
Rfam family: Bacterial small subunit ribosomal RNA
Source: RNAcentral